CACGUAGGCACCAAGCGUUAUCCGGAUUUAUUGGGCGUAAAGAGCUCGUAGGCGGUUCGGUAAGUCGGGUGUGAAAACUCUGGGCUCAACCCAGAGAGGCCACCCGAUACUGCUGUGACUAGAGUGCGGUAGGGGAGCGGGGAAUUCCUGGUGUAGCGGUGAAAUGCGCAGAUAUCAGGAGGAACACCAGCGGCGAAGGCGCCGCUCUGGGCCGUAACUGACGCUGAGGCGCGAAAGCCAGGGGAGCAAACGGG
RNAcentral lists this ribosomal RNA (254 nucleotides) under uncultured bacterium. Its description in RNAcentral is "partial 16S ribosomal RNA". It matches the Rfam family "Bacterial small subunit ribosomal RNA", at positions 524 to 776 of the family's 1533-position model. The record is from RNAcentral.